GGUGAAGUCGUAACAAGGUAACCGUAGGGGAACCUGCGGUUGGAUCACCUCCUUACCUUAAAGAA
This 65-nucleotide ribosomal RNA is filed under the name Acinetobacter baumannii. RNAcentral describes it as "partial 16S ribosomal RNA". The stretch from base 1 to 55 matches the Rfam family "Bacterial small subunit ribosomal RNA", at positions 1479 to 1533 of the family's 1533-position model. RNAcentral also lists the same sequence under 8 other names. Lineage: Bacteria; Pseudomonadati; Pseudomonadota; Gammaproteobacteria; Moraxellales; Moraxellaceae. The record is from RNAcentral.